GUCCCAAGCAUGACAUAAAACUGCUUACUGAGAUUGUCUGCGCCGUCUGAUCAGCGGUGGCGCAACAGACAGUUUCAGUCGAAAUUUAAUAUGUACGGCUGCCUUAUGCGCUGGCGGCCGCAAUCCGAAUGGAGAAAUCCAUCUGGAUCGCGGUCAGGGUUUUUGCGCCCAUUUUGCAGCCGGUCG
Molecule: non-coding RNA, 186 nt
Filed under: unclassified sequences
Description: DUF2800 RNA
Rfam family: DUF2800 RNA (bases 28-186)
About the family: Actinobacteria, Firmicutes, Synergistetes (1 example). Terminator (Clostridia)
Source: RNAcentral